This 292-nucleotide ribosomal RNA is filed under the name uncultured bacterium. RNAcentral's name for it is "partial 16S ribosomal RNA". It matches the Rfam family "Bacterial small subunit ribosomal RNA", at positions 505 to 796 of the family's 1533-position model. The record is from RNAcentral.
GUGUCAGCCGCCGCGGUAAGACGAAGGGGGCUAGCGUUGUUCGGAAUUACUGGGCGUAAAGCGAGUGUAGGUGGUUUGCCAAGUUGGGUGUGAAAGCCUUGAGCUCAACUCAAGAAAUGCACUCAGUACUGGCAGACUAGAGGACCGGAGAGGAUAGUGGAAUUCCCAGUGUAGUGGUGAAAUACGUAGAGAUUGGGAAGAACACCAGUGGCGAAGGCGGCUAUCUGGACGGUUUCUGACACUAAGACUCGAAAGCGUGGGGAGCAAACAGGAUUAGAUACCCCAGUAGUCC